CACAGGACUAUGCCAGUCACUCACUGAAGGUUUGAUGAUGCCUAAACCUUUCAUCUGUUCCAGUUCCUCUCUGAAAACCUCUUGUAAGUGUGCAGGGAUCCUACAAUAUGAUGUUCUCACAGGACCUGGGGAGAUGUUCCAAUGAUGGUCCUACUUGGACCUCUCUGCAUGAUGGCAAGUACUGCUCCUCUGAUUCCUCUUCCUCCGGAACGCUACGAAUUAAUAGCUGACUGGAAGGGGUUUCCUUUAGCACAGAAAGGGGUCCUCGAACAGGACGACCAUACAACAGCUCAAACGGAGAGAAUCCUGUGGAUGCCUGCGGAACCUCCCGGUAAGCAAACAACAGGUAUGAUAGCCAUUGGUCCCAAUCUGAUCCAGUCAUGCUAACAAAUUUCCUCAGCAUCUGUUUUAAGGUGGCAUUAAAUCGCUCCACUAGCCCAUGCAUCUGCGGGUGAUAGGAAUUCGGGGGGUUAAUGACCACACCCUAACAAACUAUUCACCUGUCUUAUCAAUUUUGCUGUUAGAUUGGAUCCCUGGUCAGUUAACAUUUCUCUUGGGAUCCCCACUCUGGCAAAUAGCUGUAUUAAAGCUCUCAUGAUGUUACUUGCAUUUUUCUUUUUCAG
Molecule: long non-coding RNA, 623 nt
Organism: Erpetoichthys calabaricus (reedfish)
Lineage: Eukaryota; Metazoa; Chordata; Cladistia; Polypteriformes; Polypteridae
Exons: 3
Source: RefSeq, a predicted model, not a curated record